GCUAAAUGAAGCCUAAUGAACAUGGAGAGAGAACCGGCUCUCAGAAACCUCUGAAGGCACAUUCCGCCCGGGCUGGAGCUGACCUGGAGACGCAGCCCUUCCUCCCCAUUUGGAGCUGCCUGUCAUCAUGCGAAGAUGAACAAAGAUUUGUUACAGAAACCAGAAUCGCCAGCCUUUGGGGGCCCCCAGCCCUUUGUGCACACCUGCAGGCCGUGCAGACCUCCAGCCUGCUCACCUGCGCCCCUUUCUUGGUGGGACCCUGACUGUCAGGACUGUCUGUGCCAUGAGGAUGUGAAGUUGGGGAGGAGCUCGCUCUUGGACAUCACAUGGGCGCACGUGGCUCAGGCUGGGCCCAGACUGAUGGUAACAAUGCAAGGCCUGCUUGC
Eptesicus fuscus (big brown bat) is the source of this 386-nucleotide long non-coding RNA. RefSeq lists it as uncharacterized. The record is from RefSeq and is a predicted model, not a curated record. The transcript has 3 exons. NCBI's taxonomy places the organism in Eukaryota, Metazoa, Chordata, Mammalia, Chiroptera, Vespertilionidae.